CUAGGAAUCUUGGGAAUGGGCGAAAGCCUGACCCAGCAACGCCGCGUGGGCGAUGAAGGCCUUCGGGUCGUAAAGCCCUUUUGCAGGGGAAGAUGAUGACGGUACCCUGCGAAUAAGCCACGGCUAACUACGUGCCAGCAGCCGCGGUAAUACGUAGGUGGCAAGCGUUGUCCGGAUUUACUGGGCGUAAAGGGCGUGCAGGCGGUUUGUUAAGUGCAGGGUGAAAGCUCCCGGCUCAACUGGGAGAGGUCCUUGCAUACUGGCGAACUCGAGGGAGGCAGAGGAAAGUGGAAUUCCCGGUGUAGUGGUGAUAUGCGUAGAUAUCGGGAGGAACACCUGUGGCGAAGGCGGCUUUCUGGGCCUUACCUGACGCUGAGACGCGAAAGCGUGGGGAGCGAACCGG
This 403-nucleotide ribosomal RNA is filed under the name uncultured bacterium. RNAcentral's name for it is "bacterial SSU rRNA". It matches the Rfam family "Bacterial small subunit ribosomal RNA", at positions 355 to 776 of the family's 1533-position model. The record is from RNAcentral.